UACGUAGGGAGCAAGCGUUGUCCGGAAUCAUUGGGCGUAAAGGGCGUGUAGGCGGCCAGGUAGGUCCGCUGUGAAAACUCGAGGCUCAACCUCGAGAUGUCGGCGGAAACCAUCUGGCUAGAGUCCGGAAGAGGAGAGUGGAAUUCCUGGUGUAGCGGUGAAAUGCGCAGAUAUCAGGAAGAACACCCGUGGCGAAGGCGGCUCUCUGGGACGGUACUGACGCUGAGACGCGAAAGCGUGGGGAGCGAACAGG
RNAcentral lists this ribosomal RNA (253 nucleotides) under uncultured bacterium. RNAcentral's name for it is "partial 16S ribosomal RNA". It matches the Rfam family "Bacterial small subunit ribosomal RNA", at positions 524 to 776 of the family's 1533-position model. The record is from RNAcentral.